UGGUCUUAUUUAAUAGAUAUCUAAACCUUCAAUAGAACGAAGAAUGAUUAAUGAAUGUCUCGUAUUAGAACAAACUCCAAAUAAGGUAAUCAAAUACAAACAAAAAAUUCAAAGGUUAUACACAAUUUAGUUAAUGAUACGUUAUGGGAUAUUAGAUAAAGAGCUGGCAGUUCUCACUAUAAUAGUUAAAAACUAGAUAAUGUAAAGGGAAUUUGCUAAAAUUUUCAGGCAAAUUGAUCCACUCUGAACCGAGAAUGUAGUGAUUGAAUUUUCGGCCUAGCCUCGAUCAUCAUUGCUAAAUCGAUACGAUAAAAUACAUAGUCUCGAUUAUCCAUUUCAUGAUUAAAUCAUGAAUGAAAGUUGAGCAGCAAAUCGGAUCCUAAUCCAGUAAAUAUCGCAGGCUAGCGAUGACAUCGAGAGUUGAUUAUGGUCUGGAUAUGUUAAUUAAUGUCUAAUUAAUAAUUUAGAUAACAUUUCAGGCCUAAAGAAAGACCCGGAAAUAGGUAGAUUUAGCUCUUGCAUAAUGUAUGUUUAAUCUUCGUGAUAGCGUAUCCGCAACAUAAAAAGUGUAAGAACAAUGCCCUCAUCAAUCAACAGUAUGGUAUGAUAACAUUAUUUAGUAUAUAUACAUUAUUUUCUGUGGUGUUCUUUUUACACCCAUACUAAACGUUACUUUGAUGGUAUCGUUGCAAAUGAAAUGAAAUGAAAUUAGGUUUAACGUCUUACUUUUCUGCAUCCACUGGGAGGUGUGCUAUGACGGAAAUUUUGCCAGGUCAGCGGCACUAAAGCUUACUUUUAUUUCGAAUUCCAUCUGCCGAGGCUUUUUUAUGUACACACCAAUGUGUACAUGAGACCUUGGUUUUUUGGCCCAUCCGGACGACAAUACAUUUUCCUUGCCAGGCCCUCCGUCCUACAUCACUGACAAUGGCGAACCACCGGUGACCAGUGGUGUUGCAGCCCUGGUUGGUGUGUGUGACCAUUAAUGUAUACUGUCUCCAAAUGUAAUACAACUGCAGUGUAUUUUUUUAUCGUUUGUAAUAUUUUUACUUUUGUUUUUUAAAUCCGAGUACGACGAGGGUAGAGAAAGCUGAUAUACUAGAGAUGACAGUUGAAUAUUUACAUAAUAUUAUAUAUAAACAAAGAGAUAGUGGGGAGUGGCGCCGAAUACAGAAAUGGAUAUAACGCGUGCUUAAUAGAGGUUUCUCAGUUUCUGGACCAAGAACAAGAAUUGAAUAUUAAAAUGAAACAAGAUAUAACAGGGAAUUUGAGGUCAAAGAUCAAUGGAAACAACUAUGUGAUUACAAUGAAUGAACAGACCGUGGCUUGUGAUGGAUUGAUUCUGGAAACCUUGAACAUGUGUCGAAUCUGUAGAUUACAAUGGACCAUAGUUCAUUUUUGACUGUGGAAUCGGAAAAAGAAUCGGAAAUAUUAGUUUGCGAUGAAGAAAUUUUUUAAUGUGCUUAAAAAUGAGAUAAUUAAUCGAGAAAGUCUCAUGCUGUACCUGAUGGUAUACGCAACAUCCGAGUAUCAAAGGGGAGUAACUGCUUUGAUAGUUCUUUUAUUAUUUAUUACAUACAGUGUCCGGGUUUUAUUGUCUGCCUUGUCCAAGGCUAUAUCUUCUAGGUUGCUUAUGGUCUAAAAUAAAUAACGUAUAAAUUAUAUUUUUGUAUGUGGCGGAGAUUCGCUCCAUCAUGGGUUCAUUUAAUUAAUUUAACAUCGUGAAUGGUGUCACUUAAUCACCUGCCAAUCAAAACUGGAUUAAAAUGCACUCUAUUUCUUGAACAAUACAAUCUGUGUUAAUUUGCCUUUGCUGUUUUACUUCGUGUGUGUUUGAUACGUGUUUAUUAUACAGAUUGUGUCUAUUCUUUCUGAACAAAUAAAAAAAAUUCCAAAUUUGC
This is a long non-coding RNA of Patella vulgata (common limpet), 1898 nucleotides long. RefSeq lists it as uncharacterized. The transcript has 2 exons. NCBI's taxonomy places the organism in Eukaryota, Metazoa, Mollusca, Gastropoda, Patellidae. The record is from RefSeq and is a predicted model, not a curated record.